This 416-nucleotide unclassified non-coding RNA is filed under the name soil metagenome. RNAcentral's name for it is "partial contains 5.8S ribosomal RNA, internal transcribed spacer 2, and large subunit ribosomal RNA". The stretch from base 1 to 120 matches the Rfam family "5.8S ribosomal RNA", at positions 35 to 154 of the family's 154-position model. The record is from RNAcentral.
GAUGAAGAACGUAGCGAAAUGCGAUAAGUAAUGUGAAUUGCAGAAUUCAGUGAAUCAUCGAAUCUUUGAACGCACCUUGCACUCCUUGGUAUUCCGAGGAGUACGCCUGUUCGAGUGUUAUGAAGCUCUCAAAACGCAAUUGGCUUAAAACCUGAUUGUUGUUUUGGAUUUGAACUUUGCCGUGUUAUAACGGCUGGUUUUAAAAGUAUUAGCUGGUACUAGAACGAAUUGGUUCUACUCAACGUGAUAAUUAUCUGAUCGUUGAGGACAUUCCUUUCACGAGGAAUGGACAUAGUAAAUUCAAUGGACUGCUUCUAAUCUGGCUUUAAUUCUUUAUUGGAUUAACCACUUUUCAAAUCUGACCUCGAAUCAGGUGGGACUACCCGCUGAACUUAAGCAUAUCAAUAAGCGGAGGA